UGUUAAAUGACCCUGAGCGUCAUGAUAAUCGUGUACACAGUUACAUACAAUAUGUUCUAUUAUGAAAUAAAUUCUUCUUGUUGACUUUUAAGUGUAUUAAAUCGGUAAUUCCGGUAUUGUGUACACUUGUUGUUUGACUUGUUGUGUGUAGAUGAAAACAAAACACACACUGUCGGCAGAAAUAAAAAUAAGAGAACCUGAGAAAAAUGGAUUAGUAAAUCUGAACUUUGUAUGCAGCACAAACAUUUGGUCAAACAUUGUCGGGUAAGCAGCAAUUAUAUUAAUUUUAAAAAAGUUCUAUUAACCUCAUUAAACAUGUUAAAUAAAACCUUAAUUAUCAUCUGUGAAAUUUAAAUGUAGCGUGCCAUUUCCCGAACUUCGAUCCUCCUUCUUUAAUUGACUUUUUUACCUAUUGAUCUAAAUGAUCCGUCUUUUUCACCUGUUUUAAGUUAUUUUAUUCAAUUCAUUAGAAAUAUUGAUUAGAUUUAUGUUUGUCGUUGCAGAACGGAUCUUUUGUCACAAUAAUUUCAGUCAAGACAGAAUUUUCCGAGUGAUACAUAAAGUAUGGAAACUACAGAACUUACCGGUGAUGGCAUUGAAUCUGUACACGUGUGGCAGGCGUAUGUAAUGUGUGCAAUGACAACUGUUAUGUUUUAUAUCUUGGGAGAAAUCUUGGAUAGACUCGGGAAACCUAAAUGUGUAGCACCAGAGGUAGAGUUCUGGAAGUGGAGAAAUAUCACGAUAUCAUGGAUACAUGGAGUUAUAUGUGGAACGUGGGUUUUUUUAUGGCAAGUAUAGAAACUUAGUUUUAUAUAGAUAUAAGAAGAUGUGGUAUGAGUGCCAAUGAGACAACUCUCCAUUGUUAUGUUUCUUUUGUUGUGCUUUUGUCAUGUUUGUGUAUCUUUUCAAAUUUUUUUUAUCAAAUGCAAUUUUGAAAUAAAUAUAUAAAGAAAGUGUGGUAUUAUUGCAAGUAAUAAGUAAAAAUGUUUCUUCUCAAGUCUCAAUUCAAGAUUAUUAUGCAUCCAAGUCACAACUUGUAAAAGUAAACCAUUAUAGGUUUAAGUACAGUCCCCAACAAGGAUGUAUGGCUUACCGAACAGCAAGUUAUAAAAGACUCCACAAUUGACUUAUAAGUGCAAACUACUAAAAGGAAAACCAACGACCAUUUAGAGAUGCGUAUUACAAUAAGUAAAUAGUUACAUCAAUAAAUUGUACGAUAAGAAUUUAUAUUAUAAAUGGAUAAAUUAAUAAAUAAGUGCUGAUAGAGUCUGCAUAUUACAAUGUGUUAUACAAACAAGGAUAUAACAAGCUUUAUUGAGAUUUUAAAAAUGACACUCUGUUAAAUUUGUUGAUAUAACAAAAUACUUUGCAAGUAAUACCCAGGCCCGUAGCCAGGAAUUUCCAAAGGGGGGUUAUUUGGCCUCAAAAACUCGACUUUAACAGUCACAAUUCGAACAGAACGUUAACAGUCACUAUUUGUUUUCAAAGGGGGUUAGGGGGGGGGGGGUUCGUCCGAACCCCCAACCCCCUGGCUACGGAUAUGAUACCUAUAUGUAGCUAUAGCCAAGACAGACAUUUAAUAUUUCAUAGUAUCUUUAUUUUGAUAGAAUGUUGAUUUUGGGUAUUCGCCAACAAGACAGAAAAAGAACGAUAAUGUUCCACAAAAAGACUCCAACCAAACAAAAUAAUUGAGUCUUUAUUUCUUGUCGAAAAUAUAAACACAUGAAAACUUAGAGUAUUUUUGGUGCUUAAAAUGUCUUUUUUUUUCAAUCAACCAACGUUGAUACAUAUAAUUAACAAAGACAGUUUGCACUUUCAUGUUUUUAUUCCACCUUUUUUGUGUUUUAGCUUAGUUUUUAUAUCCAGAUUUAGUACGAGAUCCAGUGGCUUACAUAAACAAUUUCAUGUAUCUAAUGGUGCCCUUUUCUGCAGGUAUUUAAAUUAAAGUUAUUUUCGUAUACAAUAAAUGCGCACACAUGUAACCAAAAGCUGCGCGCAAAUGUAACUAAAAGCUGAGCUGAGCGCACAUGUAAUGGUAAUGCUCGCAAACGUAAUGCACCGAUAUAAUAUAAUGUAUUAUUGUCCAUGUCAUUACUUUUGUUUCGCUGUGUGUAUGUAUGAUAGUGUAAUUGUUCUUUUCUUUAAUAUGAGGUCAUCUUUCACUCUAAUGUUUAUCUAUGACUAUACAUGUAACAAUUUUAACAAUUUGUAUACAUACAAAAGGCGAAAAUUGCAAAUAAGACAACUUUCCACCACCGAUUAAAUAAUGUAGAUGUAAGAAACUAAUGGUCACCGUACAGCCUUCAACAAUGAGUACAAUACUUACCACACGGUAUAAAAAGCCCCGUCGUGAACAAUUGUGAAAAUAUUCGAAAAAAAAAAAAAAAAAAAAACCACCAAAAACCAACGUCAUAAUUUAUAUCAAAUUUAUAAAUAAAAAACAAGUUUGAAAGAAAGUUGUAGCACCCAACGAGUCGACAAUCAUUGGAUUACAUGAUCCUGGCUUGGGACGGGCACAUGAAGAAUAUGCCCGGGUUAACCAUGUUUGUGAGUCGCUUCGCUAUAAAUCCUCCAAUCACCUCGGACAGUAGCAUACCAACACAACAUAAGCACAAACUGUAAAAAAUAGUUGGACAUGUUCCGACUCAUCUUAUCGAUACGAAAACAUUAAAUCUUCUCACAUAAAGGCAAUUUGCUUACAUAUUUUUCUUCUUUUAGUACCAAAUUUUUUAUUUUUUAUUUUCUGUCUUUUAUCAUGUUUGGUUAAAUCAAGACAAUACACGCAAUGUACUCUUCUGUAAAUAUAAUAGCUUGUACACGCUUGUUUCUUCGUAUAUAUUACGGCUAAAGUAUAUUCUAAAUGUUACAAGCCUUCAAAUUAUAUGACUUGUGAUUCAAUAUAAUAUAAAUGAAUCCUAAAUAUUGUUAUUUUUACUUAACUUCGUGUUUAUUUAUUGUCUUUUACGUAUGAUUUAUUUACCCACCAAGUCUCAACCCUCCUUUGUAUAUGAUGACUUUUAAAUAAGGAUUAAAUACUUUGCAUAUACUAUUCAAUUCAAUAUUUCAGUAAGACACAAAGGAACACAUAAUUACAUGCGUAUCAUGUAUUAACUUGAUAUGUGAGCAUAACAGUGUUUCUUUUGACAUAAUGCACAUCAGAUUUAGAUAGUAUCUGAAUCUUUUAAAAACACAAAAUCAAUCCAUGCAUACCAAAGACGACUUUAUUUUUUUGCAUUACUUUGGACCCCUACCAUUUGAAGGGAAUAAAUUGACACCUCUUUGUUAAAAAGCAGGAUUUAGGGGCGGGGGGGGGGGGGGUACUUUUUUUUUUUGGCUUGUUAGUUUCAGUAGUUUGAUUUUUUAAAUAAAAAAAUCAAAUUUCCGUCUGGUUCCUUUAUCCUUGCUUUGUUUCGAAUAUAUGAUAUGCAGAUAAACAAAAAUGUGUACUAGUUCACAGAAAAUGGACGUCACACUAAAUUUCAAAACUGAUAUAAAUGAACUUGAAACAAAUAAAAUAAAACAUACAAUGCUGGGUAAAACAUGUUUUGUAAGAUAUUAACCCUCACCCUCAGUAUACCUUUAUCAAAUGUAGCCUGGCAUCUUGGCCAGAUCUAUAGCUAAAAGUUGGGCCACGACUCCCAAGAUGCACCCAGGCUAUAUACUAUGUAGAAUAAACUAAGCACACAGCAAUUCAAACAGUAAAACUCAGUUCAAAAUAAGUCAUGUAUAUAUUUACAGGAUAUUUCAUAUAUGAUACCAUAGACAUGAAGGUGAACAAAAAGAUAGGAACAUACUGGGAAGUUACUUUACAUCAUUUUGUUGUAAGUAAAACAUAGAGUAAACACAUUGAUAGAUAGUUAAAUGUUUAACGGCAAUUUAUUAAAACAAAACAAAACGCAAAAUAAUUAUACAAUUGCAUUUAAACAAAGCAGACAAUUGAAGAAAACAUUCAAUCGGACGCAAUGAUCUUUUCAAUACUGAUGAAAAUCCACCGUACUAUUUCGUACGAACACGGUUUCCAUUAAUUUUCAAAAAACAUCCAUAGAAAAUAAACUGGAACAUUGUCAACAUGUACCAAAAAAGAUAUAUUAAGUACCAGAUCAGUUAUUAUAUACCUUUGAAAAAUAUCAUUAAAGUAAGGAAAGUUACACCUUUGAAAAAAUACCAAUAAAGUAAGGAAAACUAGAAAAAGAAGCUCCAUAGUUAACGAAAUGUGAAAAUUUAAAUGAAUAUAAUAACGAAAAACGAAAAGGACACUGAGAGGUAGGACCAGUCUAUGUUGAUUCUUAAUUAUCACGAGGACAUUUUACCCCCUCCCAAAAUAAAAAAAAAAAAAAAAAAAAAAAAAAAAAAAAAAUACGUUUGACAACUGUUUAUUUAAAACUCACAGUUUAUUCUUGGAUGAAAACUAUGAGAAAGAUGAUACUUAUUAUAAAUUGUUAUGAUUUUAUCCUUUAUUUACAGAUAGUUUCGUCAUUUAUAUACAACUUUAACAUAAGAAGCUGCAUAGGGUAUAAUGUGAUAAUACUAAUGGCAGAAAUAAAUACGAUAUUUCUACAUAUGAGAAAACUCUUACAGAUGUGUCAUGUCGGAUUUGACACUAAACUAUACCGAUUUGUGUCUUUAACUAAUAUUUUUACGUUCGUUACUUGCCGCCUAAUUCCAAUUUUACGUGUUUACUCAGGAUUAUAUUUAGAUUUUCAUAGAGUAAGUUUAACGUAUGUUAUAACGUUUUGGUGGACUAUAACAACUGGACUAGUAAUAAACUUGAUAUUAUUUGGGAGACUUGUUAAGUCUGAUAUUUUAAGAGGUUUUUCUAGAAAAGGAAAAC
This 4831-nucleotide long non-coding RNA is filed under the name Mytilus galloprovincialis (Mediterranean mussel). The record is from RNAcentral. Lineage: Eukaryota; Metazoa; Mollusca; Bivalvia; Mytilida; Mytilidae.